AAGAACAGAGAAACAAAUCAUGAGCUGAUUGCCACAAAAUUUCGGCAUCCCAUGUUCAACAUUUACAAGAGGCAGAACUCACCCCUACUAAUUGCACCGCGUUAACAGUAGCCUCAAGUUAUCUUGACUUCCCAUGACUAUACCCACCUACUAUUUACAAAAGUUGCCAUGACUACCUAUCUACCUACUAUUUACAAAAGUUGCCAUGCCUACCUAUCUACCUACUAUUCACAGUUUUUCCAUGUCAAAGAAACAUUGGUCAUAUCUAAGAAUGUGCAUGGCUAAGGAAUGAAUGACAGCAGACGUUGAGAUGAUGAAUGGGAAGAGGAAUCGGGUACUGAUCCUAUUUCUAGAUUAUAGGUAAUUCUAGGGCCAUUGCUAAGAUACAUAUAUAUAUACUACUUCAAAAGGACAACAAGAAUUUCACUUGGUAAUGAUGAAUGAAACAGAUUUCUUAAAAUUGAAGUACUGGAGUACUCCUAAGAUAUCCAAGGAUGGUAUUGCCACCAUGCAAACACUGGGUAAAAAGCAUGUGCUGCUGUUCUGAUUGAAUACUAUCAAUCAUGGCGAGUGGCAAAAGAGUAUAACAAGGAUAAUGUUGAAGUUUAUCAUAGAAGGACAACAAGAAUUUUAGUUGGUAACGACGAAACAGAUUUCAAAAGAUUGCUCAACAUUCAAGUAUUACUCAUCCUUAGGUAUCUAAGGAUGAUAUCGCCACCAUGCGCAACACUGAAAAAAAACGUGUGCUGCAUGUUCUGAUUAAAGGCAAGCUGGCAAAGGAGUAUAAGGGGCUCUCCCCGUACUGGCAAAGGCGAGAAUCAGCUAUCAGAGCUGACAUACAGAACAAACAAGAACAGAGCAAUCAUCAUCUGAAUGCCAAAAAAUCUCAGCAUUCCUGUUCUCUAUUUACGAAUUCGCCUAAUGGCAGCUUGUGAGCAGUAGAGUAGCCACAGGAUAACAAGCGAUACCUCAAGCAGUUGGAACUCAUAAGAAGAAAUUAUUUAUAGAGUGGACAUGAGUACCCACCCUACCUAGUAUUCACAGUUGGUGUCCAAGAGAUGUAACCAAUCUAGGAACAUACAUGGCCAAGGAAUGAC
This 1097-nucleotide long non-coding RNA is filed under the name Triticum aestivum (bread wheat). RNAcentral's name for it is "long non-coding RNA (TAES_LNC028236)". Lineage: Eukaryota; Viridiplantae; Streptophyta; Magnoliopsida; Poales; Poaceae. The record is from RNAcentral.